UUCAAGAUAAUUUGUUGCGGAGCAGGAAAACAUUUUUCUGCAUAAAGAGGGGAACCAUGUGAAAAUCAUGGGCUGACAGGCAACUGUGACCCGGAGGGAGUGAUAAGUUGUAAGUUUUAAGUUAUAAGUAAGGUGAACACUUACUACUUAGAACUUAAAACCUAUAACUCCACCAGGCUAGCCAGGCUACCGGCCGCAAUAAUUAUUGUUUG
Molecule: non-coding RNA, 212 nt
Filed under: Sphingobacteriales bacterium
Lineage: Bacteria; Pseudomonadati; Bacteroidota; Sphingobacteriia; Sphingobacteriales
Source: RNAcentral